Molecule: ribosomal RNA, 506 nt
Filed under: uncultured bacterium
Lineage: Bacteria
Description: partial 16S ribosomal RNA
Rfam family: Bacterial small subunit ribosomal RNA
Source: RNAcentral
AGUGAACGCUGGCGGUAGGCCUAACACAUGCAAGUCGAACGGCAGCACAGGAGAGCUUGCUCUCUGGGUGGCGAGUGGCGGACGGGUGAGGAAUACAUCGGAAUCUACUCUGUCGUGGGGGAUAACGUAGGGAAACUUACGCUAAUACCGCAUACGACCUACGGGUGAAAGCAGGGGACCUUCGGGCCUUGCGCGAUUGAAUGAGCCGAUGUCGGAUUAGCUAGUUGGCGGGGUAAAGGCCCACCAAGGCGACGAUCCGUAGCUGGUCUGAGGGGAUGAUCAGCCACACUGGAACUGAGACAGGGUCCAGACUCCGACGGGAGGCAGCAGUGGGGAAUAUUGGACAAUGGGCGCAAGCCUGAUCCAGCCAUACCGCGUGGGUGAAGAAGGCCUUCGGGUUGUAAAGCCCUUUUGUUGGGAAAGAAAUCCAGCCGGCUAAUACCCGGUUGGGAUGACGGUACCCAAAGAAUAAGCACCGGCUAACUUCGUGCCAGCCGCCGCGGUAA